GUGGAGACUAUCUGGGCCCAGGCCAGCCCUGUCACUUAGUUUCCUGGUGCUAUCACUUGCAGCAGGGUGCCAUGUCAAUCAAUGAGUACUUGUUGAAGUUCAGGAUUCUUGCAGCAGUAAGUGGAUGGAAUGAGUGUUGCUGAUGACCUACAGACAGGGACUGGAGCCUCAGCUUCGUUUACAGCUUGCUGUGUAUGAUGCACUUGGUUUGGGGAAAUUUAUUCAGCUAUCCAGCCGUUGUUCCAACCGCAUGCAGUCCUGUGUAGCAGCAACACCAAUCUCUUACCUCCGCUGGCCAGAGCCCAGUUACCCUCCAGAACUCGAGCCCAUGAUUGUGAAGAGCCAACGGUUGUUGUCAGCUGAGCGGCAGAGAAGGCUGACCCGAGGACUCUGUUUGUAUUGUGGAACUCAGGGGCACAUUAUUCUGGCAUGCCCCCUUCACCCUCCACGUCCUGUGUAUCAGCCCUUAUCGACUCCGGGUCAGCAGUGAACUGCAUCUUAAGGAACCUCUGCCACCAGCUCAAAUUGCAAGCUACCUCCACCAAAAAGGUCUACCAAGUUCAGUCAAAAACUGGAAAUCCACUUUGUAAGACGUGUGGGACAUCACUCUUCAUCUUGGCCUUCACUCGGAGGAAAUCCAUCUUCUGGUUCUGGAGGGGUCUACUGCUGACGUCAUCCUUCUGAUGUUCUGGCCAUUUAUUUCCGGUUCCGGGAAAGCAAGAGGGUCUGGGACGCUGCUCACCAACAUCUCCAAAGGGCAGUGUGCAGGCAAAAGGUGGCACGCGGAAACGCCCACCUACCAAACAGGUCAAAAAGUAUGGCUAUCAACUCGGGAUAUCAGACUGCGCCUGCCCUGUAGGAAGCUCAUUUACAGAUUUGUUGGUCCCUUCACCAUCGUGGAACAAACCCCGGUCACCUACAGAUUACAACUUCCCUCACAGUACAGAAUUCAUUCCUCAUUUCACGUGUCACUACUCAAACCUCACCAUGAUCCUGUUUCUCUCCCCACAGAGCCUGGCCAGAUGGAGGAACCCCUCUUCCAUUGAUCCUGGAUGAGAGGUCAGUCUACAAGGUGAAGGAGCUUCUGCAGUCCCGGUGCCAUGGUGUCCCAGACUGCUGAGGUGUGUGCUCUUCCUGUGCACUUCCCAAACUCCUGUAAGGACAAAGACUCUGUUCACCAUUCCCUUUAUAUCCUUUGAACUGAUCCACGACCUUGAUACUCAUCAUAUACAUGACCGGACUCCAUACUCUCUGUGACAAACAUCUUUUGCAUAUUUUUAACCUGCUGUGUCAAGACCUCUUCCGUUACAAUAGUACAGUAGGUGGCCAACCAGAGUGUUUUCUGCCACCGUGUCUGCAAAGUGCAUUUGCUGCUUUUGACCGCUGAGUGGCGCUUUAACCACAAGUUCUCAAACGCAUCAACGCAUAUUUUCACAAAUAGCUGUCAGCUUUGCCUCACUGGUGUGCUACAUUUGACGGCUGCAGUCAGAGCAAAAUGAAAAACACUGUAGUUAAAAUAUUUAAUAUUCACAGAAGAAACUUUAGUAGCCUGCUUAAGUUAUGUUUUUCUUAGAACGAAUAAAGCACACACAUACUUUGUUAUUCAUUACCUGUCAUUUAUUUUGAAAGAUAACAACUUGUGGGGGGAUAUCUGUCUGUA
Molecule: long non-coding RNA, 1660 nt
Organism: Cyprinus carpio carpio
Lineage: Eukaryota; Metazoa; Chordata; Actinopteri; Cypriniformes; Cyprinidae
Source: Ensembl